Molecule: long non-coding RNA, 469 nt
Organism: Glycine soja
Lineage: Eukaryota; Viridiplantae; Streptophyta; Magnoliopsida; Fabales; Fabaceae
Exons: 2
Source: RefSeq, a predicted model, not a curated record
GUGACUUUUGGUCGCUAUGCUUUAAUAGAACCUACGUGCUGGGUUGCACAAUACGUAUCACUCCCUUGUCGGCUUAAGCGGCAGAAGGUUGAUGGUUGAUGGUAGUGGUCUGUGGCGGUGGCGCGCGCUGCACGCUUCGUCCUAUUCUCCCUCCACCGCUCGGGUCGCUGUCGUCCGGUGUCUCUCCGAAAGGGUGUUGUCAAAGGAGUCUAUAGGGUGUUGUGAAUGGGGGCAUGAUGCUGGUUGGUUCUUACAGAACUUUUAUCAGACAUUUGGUGAGCACUAGAAUAACGACUAAUGCUGCUUUACGAAGUAACCUUAGACUGUCCCAACAGUGCAAUAGAGCAUCAAAUUUGAUUGCAAUUUGUAAAUCGUGUUCUUGUAAUGAGAUGCAGACUGGUUGAGAAAGGAUUAAUAACUAUAAUGUAUGUUGCUAUAUGUUGAAAAAGGGGUUAUUUAUUUGGUUAUC